RNAcentral lists this ribosomal RNA (482 nucleotides) under uncultured bacterium. RNAcentral describes it as "bacterial SSU rRNA". It matches the Rfam family "Bacterial small subunit ribosomal RNA", at positions 627 to 1102 of the family's 1533-position model. The record is from RNAcentral.
UUGAAACUUUUCGACUGGAGUUUGGGAGGGGCAACCGGAAUUCCUGGUGUAACGGUGAAAUGUGUAGAUAUCAGGAGGAACACCCGUGGCGAAGGCGGGUUGCUGGACCAAAACUGACGCUGAGACGCGAAAGCGUGGGUAGCAAACAGGAUUAGAUACCCUGGUAGUCCACGCUGUAAACGAUGAGUGCUAGGUGUAGGGGGUAUCGACUCCUUCUGUGCCGCAGCUAACGCAUUAAGCACUCCGCCUGGGGAUUACGGCCGCAAGGUUAAAACUCAAAGGAAUUGACGGGGACCCGCACAAGCGGUGGAGCAUGUGGCUUAAUUCGAUGCAACGCGAAGAACCUUACCUGGACUUGACAUGCCAGUGGUAGAACCCUGAAAGGGGGACGACCGUCGCAAGACGGAGCUGGCACAGGUGCUGCAUGGCUGUCGUCAGCUCGUGCCGUGAGGUGUUGGGUUAAGUCCCGCAACGAGCGCAAC